RNAcentral lists this ribosomal RNA (502 nucleotides) under Amphientomidae sp. KY-2004. Its description in RNAcentral is "partial 16S ribosomal RNA". The record is from RNAcentral. Lineage: Eukaryota; Metazoa; Arthropoda; Insecta; Psocodea; Amphientomidae.
UCUUUUUGAAUAGAAUUUUAAGUUUAAUCUGCCCGUUGAUUUUUAUUAAGAGGCCGCGGUAUUUUAACUGUGCAAAGGUAGCAUAAUCAAUAGUUUUUUAAUUAGGGACUGGAAUGAAUGAUUUAAUGAGAUUAUUUUUUUCAUUUAUUUUAUAUUUGGAAAUUGAAAUUUAAGUGAAAAUGCUUAAAUUUUAAUGUGGGACGAGAAGACCCUAAAAUUUUUAUUUUAGGUUAAUUUAUGGUGUGGGGAUAUUUUGUUAAAUUGUUUAAUUGAAAUUUAAUUGGGGUGAUUUAGUAAAUUAUAAAACUUAAUUUUAAAUUACCAUGUAUUUUUGAAUUUUUUGAUCCUUUAUUUUUGAUGUUGGUUUAAAUUACUUUAGGGAUAACAGCGUUAUUUUAUUUAAAAGUUCUUAUUUAUAAUAAAGGUUGCGACCUCGAUGUUGAAUUAAAAAUUUUUAUAGGGGAAGAUUUUUAUAAAAAUAGUCUGUUCGACUAUUAAAUCU